UAGAAAUUAAAGGAGUAAGAGUUAAUAUGUGAGAGAACAUUGUGCUUAUGUUUGGUUCAGCAUAAAUAACUUUCUAUUAAGUGUUCUUUUGAAGCUAUUGAAUCAUUGAUCGUACUAGUGUCCAUUUCUGCUUAAAAUCUAAACACAAGAAAUUAUGACUUGAAAUUUGAUAGAAAAAGCUUUACAAGAGCAAUAUGUAACAAGCUUACACAGUGAAUUCAACAAGCUUACACAAACCACAAGCUUACACCGCAAACCACAAGCUUACACAGUGAAUUCAACAGGCCACAAGCUUACAUAGUGAAUUCAACAAAUUCAAAAAAUCUAACAAGCUUAC
RNAcentral lists this long non-coding RNA (337 nucleotides) under Medicago truncatula (barrel medic). RNAcentral's name for it is "long non-coding RNA (MTRU_LNC000069)". The record is from RNAcentral. Lineage: Eukaryota; Viridiplantae; Streptophyta; Magnoliopsida; Fabales; Fabaceae.